GUCUACGGCCAUGCCACCCUGAACAAGCCCGAUGUCUGAUCUUGGAAGCUAAGCGGGGUCGGGCCUGUCCAGUACUUGGAUGGGAGACCACCUAGGAAGACCGGGUGCUGUAGGUG
RNAcentral lists this ribosomal RNA (116 nucleotides) under Pteropus alecto (black flying fox). Lineage: Eukaryota; Metazoa; Chordata; Mammalia; Chiroptera; Pteropodidae. The record is from RNAcentral.